AGGACGAACGCUGGCGGCGUGCUUAACACAUGCAAGUCGAGCGGUAAGGCUCCUUCGGGAGUACACGAGCGGCGAACGGGUGAGUAACACGUGAGCAAUCUGCCCUUCUCUUCGGAAUAAGCGUUGGAAACGACGUCUAAUGCCGAAUACGACCUCCUUUCACAUGAUCGGAGGUGGAAAGCUCCGGCGGAGAAGGAUGAGCUCGCGGCCUAUCAGCUAGUUGGUGUGGUAACGGCCCACCAAGGCGACGAC
Molecule: ribosomal RNA, 252 nt
Filed under: uncultured bacterium
Lineage: Bacteria
Description: partial small subunit ribosomal RNA
Rfam family: Bacterial small subunit ribosomal RNA
Source: RNAcentral